CUACUAUAAUAAAGUUGGAAGGUUUCCAAUUCUCUCAAUUUUUUGCCUCUUUUUGACCUCUCGUCUGGUGACACGUACAUACCAUGGUGCUAGGUGUUUUGAGCAGAUUGGUUGAGCCUUUUGACUUCUUCUGUUUGACUUCUUCCUCAAUCUUUUAUUUUUCUUACUUGUUUGGGCAACCGGUUGCCUAUGCUUCUUUAUUUCUUGAUCUGACCGGACGGGCUGUCACCCUUGUGCUGCAUCCGGUCACGGUUGGCUCCCUCUUGUUUCCUUUCUUAUUUUGCUUCUCUUUGUAGCCGGUGAUGAGUUAGCCUUCCGGUGACCCUUUAUUUUUUGUUUUGUUCUUAUCCUUAUUUGAUAACUUGGCCUCUAAGUUUGCAUAUUAUAGUAGAUCUUUGUUGCUCUUAUCCAUUUAUGUGAACUUGGCCUCCACGUCUCAUCUUACCUCUAGGAAGCUUGGCCACCACGGUUUCUGUGCUUGUCUAUAUAUAUGUUUGUCGACUGAGUUUCUUGUCUUUCAAGAUGUUUUACCAGUUUUCUUCUUUGAUUAUUGCAGAUGAUUACGUUGGAUCCCACCAUUUGGACAUUGGUCUUGCUAAACGUUCGUCCAUGGAGGUCGUGUGCGGCUAAGGAUGGCAUCUUGCAUCGAGCUGCUCCGUGAUCUUGAUGAUGACCUCGCAUCCAUCUUCAUAGGAUCGCCUUCUCAUAUGCUAAUGUGCUCCGGAAAUCUUUGCAGGUCGGAUCGAUUUGAUGUCGCUGUCCUGUAGGCCAAUGAAGGCGUCCAUCAUCGGUGCAGGACUCAUUGCUUUGUUCCAAUACAAGUUCAAGCUUAAAGGGGGGCACACCGCACGAGAGAUCAGACAACUGACUUGAUGUGGGGAGACCACUUCUUAGCUUGUAAUUCCCAAAACUAAAUGGCUUUUAUCAAUGAAAUUCAGGUGGGGAUUCUCUCCCACCCCGUGAAAAUUUCAAGAAAAUAAUUAUGUUUUACACGCUCUAAGAAAUUUAUACUUUAGGAGGUUUUCAGCCUGUCCAUAUGAGGUAAAUCAUGCAUCUUUCUUUUUUGCCAAUGGACCAAUAAUUAUAUUUUCCACUACCAUGCAGACCUCUCUUGUAGUGUACGUAUCUAGGUGUACACUAGAACUAGCUACACAGAGAGAUGGCCUAAUGAUCCACAAAGCUUGAGUUUGAGUGUGAUCAGGAUGGUAAAUGCAUCACCCAUAUUGAUAUGGACACACCUAUUGAUUCAAAUGAUCACCUCCAAGGCUAGAAAAAUUCCCAUGGAGAACCUAGGGUUGAAAAAACCAGUUGCAGAGGAGAGUGCGCCUAGGACCACACUCCACUUCCUGACAACGAAUAUCAGUACUGCACAUCGCUCAGAGGUCCACCAGGGUGGCAAUCAAAGAAUCAGAGGAAAACUGCAAACCGUUCCUUCAGAUGAAGCAAAAAUAUAGGAAAAUCAAUGACCUCAUGCAUGCGUUCUACAGAUUACCGAGAGCUUCAGAAGUAUUGCCUCUACGCAUCCACCACCCAAACUCAAUGUACCUAGAACCACAAGACGCCACAAUACAACGAUAUAUAGCUGCCAAGAGGAGAGUGAAUUUUUGUAGCCCGAGCUACAUGUAGCUCCUUUUUUGCCAAAUUGGAAAAUGGGACUUUAAAGUUUCAAAAAAAUCUAACAAAAAAUCUAGAUGUAGACAAUGAUGGUAUCUACCAAUCUGUAAAAUUUGAACUUGAGAUGCUUCAUAUUCUGGGCUACACAAAAAUGACAAAAUCUGACAGAUUUUGGGGAUUUUGAAAUCUGACACUGUUCACUAAUACUGAUAUCAGAAUUUGUCAUUUUUGCACAGCUUCGAAUAUAAGGUAUUUUCAGUCGAAAUUUUCCAUGUUUCCGUGCCAGAAGCUGCUACCAACAAGCCUAGGCUCACCAUUAAUAGCAUAAUAAUUGGCGAAGCAGUGCAGGAAGGAGUGUUAAAUUAAGUGAAAGAUGGCGACCUGAACCAGCGAUCUAGGAGAGCUACUAGCUUUUUUUUAUUGCAGGGGCACCAAAAAUAAGCUCUACGGGAUCUUUAAACAAUUUGUGUUUCUCUUUUAUUGUAUUGAAUAAAUAAAAAUAUGGAAGAGACAUCUUCCAUAUCAAUGGUAGUAUAGGUAGACUAGGAAUAGUAUAUAACUAAGCAAAUAUUGUAAGUAAAUAUAUGACUUGUGUGUAUGUAAA
This is a long non-coding RNA of Lolium perenne, 2218 nucleotides long. RefSeq lists it as uncharacterized. Lineage: Eukaryota; Viridiplantae; Streptophyta; Magnoliopsida; Poales; Poaceae. The record is from RefSeq and is a predicted model, not a curated record.